AAUCAAGCGUUUAAGGGCGUGUGGCGGAUGCCUUGGCACUGAAAGCCGAUGAAGGACGUGGUAUACUGCGAUAAGUUUCGGGGAGCUGUAUGCAGGCUUUGAUCCGAAAAUUUCCGAAUGGGAAAACCCACCACUUUAUGUGGUACUUUAAACUGAAUACAUAGGUUUAAAGAGAUAACCCGGAGAACUGAAACAUCUAAGUACCCAGAGGAAAAGAAA
RNAcentral lists this ribosomal RNA (219 nucleotides) under Pirellulaceae bacterium. RNAcentral's name for it is "partial 23S ribosomal RNA". It matches the Rfam family "Bacterial large subunit ribosomal RNA", at positions 1 to 224 of the family's 2925-position model. The record is from RNAcentral. Lineage: Bacteria; Pseudomonadati; Planctomycetota; Planctomycetia; Pirellulales; Pirellulaceae.